AGCCUGCCCAGUGACUAAUGUUCAACGGCCGCGGUAUCCUAACCGUGCGAAGGUAGCGUAAUCACUUGUUCUUUAAAUAAGGACUAGUAUGAAUGGCACCACGAGGGUUAUACUGUCUCCUUUCUCUAAUCAGUGAAACUAAUCUCCCCGUGAAGAAGCGGGGAUAUUUCUAUAAGACGAGAAGACCCUAUGGAGCUUUAAACUUCUUUUCAAACGCUGAAAUAUUAAUACAAGUCUCAGACUUACCCCCACACCCACCCAAGCGCCAUGAGAACGAUUUUAGGUUGGGGUGACCACGGAGCACAAAAAAACCUCCACGCUGAACUAGACGUCCAAACCUUGAGCUAAGAGCUACAACCCAACGCACUAAAAAAUUAACACCAAUUGACCCAAUAUUCAUUUGAUCAACGAACCAAGUUAC
Molecule: ribosomal RNA, 421 nt
Filed under: Scinax cf. cruentommus ABGD cluster 72
Lineage: Eukaryota; Metazoa; Chordata; Amphibia; Anura; Hylidae
Description: partial large subunit ribosomal RNA
Rfam family: Bacterial large subunit ribosomal RNA
Source: RNAcentral